This 609-nucleotide ribosomal RNA is filed under the name Klebsiella pneumoniae. Its description in RNAcentral is "bacterial LSU rRNA". It matches the Rfam family "Bacterial large subunit ribosomal RNA", at positions 995 to 1607 of the family's 2925-position model. The record is from RNAcentral. Lineage: Bacteria; Pseudomonadati; Pseudomonadota; Gammaproteobacteria; Enterobacterales; Enterobacteriaceae.
GUGCUAACGUCCGUCGUGAAGAGGGAAACAACCCAGACCGCCAGCUAAGGUCCCAAAGUCAUGGUUAAGUGGGAAACGAUGUGGGAAGGCACAGACAGCCAGGAUGUUGGCUUAGAAGCAGCCAUCAUUUAAAGAAAGCGUAAUAGCUCACUGGUCGAGUCGGCCUGCGCGGAAGAUGUAACGGGGCUAAACCAUGCACCGAAGCUGCGGCAGCGACACUAUGUGUUGUUGGGUAGGGGAGCGUUCUGUAAGCCUGCGAAGGUGUGCUGUGAGGCAUGCUGGAGGUAUCAGAAGUGCGAAUGCUGACAUAAGUAACGAUAAAGCGGGUGAAAAGCCCGCUCGCCGGAAGACCAAGGGUUCCUGUCCAACGUUAAUCGGGGCAGGGUGAGUCGACCCCUAAGGCGAGGCCGAAAGGCGUAGUCGAUGGGAAACAGGUUAAUAUUCCUGUACUUGGUGUUACUGCGAAGGGGGGACGGAGAAGGCUAUGUUAGCCGGGCGACGGUUGUCCCGGUUUAAGCAUGUAGGCUGAUUGUCCAGGCAAAUCCGGAUAAUCAAGGCUGAGGUGUGAUGACGAGGCACUACGGUGCUGAAGUAACAAAUGCCCUGCUU